Long non-coding RNA from Chelonus insularis, 208 nucleotides. RefSeq lists it as uncharacterized. The transcript has 2 exons. Lineage: Eukaryota; Metazoa; Arthropoda; Insecta; Hymenoptera; Braconidae. The record is from RefSeq and is a predicted model, not a curated record.
GAAGAAUUUUAUGCAAUUAACCUUGGAGAUUAUGUUCUAGCGUUCAUAGCCUAACGUCACAGGAUUGCACUUCAUCUCUUCGUCCAGUAGUUAAUUUCUUCAUUACCGAGAAGCUUAGACAAAUCCUCGAGUCUUCAAUGUGUCGAAUUGCAAGAGAUUCAGGGUAUAGUCUUCUUGUAUCUCACACCUGUCAUCCGGCAUUGCACGA